GAUGAACGCUGGCGGCGUGCCUAAUACAUGCAAGUCGAACGCUGGAGAUCUAGCUUGCUAGAUCGAAGGAGUGGCGAACGGGUGAGUAAUACAUAAGCAACCUACCCACGAAGACUGGGAUAAUCCCUGGAAACGGGGACUAAUACCGGAUAGGUAAUCGGAAGGCAUCUUCUGGUUAUUAAAGGUUAAAAACACUGGUGGAUGGGCUUAUGGCGCAUUAGUUAGUUGGUGAGGUAACGGCCCACCAAGACGAUGAUGCGUAGCCGGCCUGAGAGGGUGAACGGCCACAUUGGGACUGAGACACGGCCCAGACGCCUACGGGAGGCAGCAGUAGGGAAGUUUCGGCAAUGGGGGCAACCCUGACCGAGCAACGCCGCGUGAGUGAAGACGGCCUUCGGGUUGUAAAGCUCUGUUGUAAGGGAAGAACGGUAGAUAGAGAAUAUCUAAGUGACGGUACCUUACCAGAAAGCCACGGCUAACUACGUG
Molecule: ribosomal RNA, 486 nt
Filed under: uncultured bacterium
Lineage: Bacteria
Description: partial 16S ribosomal RNA
Rfam family: Bacterial small subunit ribosomal RNA
Source: RNAcentral